Molecule: non-coding RNA, 2072 nt
Organism: Pelobates cultripes (western spadefoot toad)
Lineage: Eukaryota; Metazoa; Chordata; Amphibia; Anura; Pelobatidae
Source: the annotation of a GenBank genome assembly
CUUUAAUAGUCUUCAGAUUGAAGUUUAUAGAGUUCAUUGUUUUUAAUAACACAGCGCAACUAAUAUCUAUUUGAUGAGAGACUUUUCAAAUAUUCAUUCUAUACACAUUGUUUUGCCCUUUUGAUGUGUUUAUUUCAUAACACACAGCCCCCAAUCAGCCGCCCUUGGUUAUAAAGCCAUACUCACCAAUAAGUAGCUUUCUGAUCAUGUGAUCGCACUCUCUAGUGUUUCUAAAGCCCUCCCAGGUGGCUUAAUGUAUUUUAUAACUCGUCCAUUGUCCUUCAACCAUGCCGGCUAUUUUAGAGGCAAGGAGUGAGAUAGAAUCAUUGGGAUUAACAUAUUGCAAAGUUCCUCCUUCGCUCCUAGAUUGUAUUGACUAAUUAGAAGGCAUUGGUUUAUCAUUGGCUAGUGAAUUAAUCCAAUUAAUCUGAUUGUAUCUAAAACCCUAAAUGCUUUGAGGGUCUCAAUCUCAGACAAUAUAAUUUAUAAGCCAGAUUUACUUGAAUAAUGAUCUCUUUAAAUUAAGGCAACUUUGCUUUUUUUUUUUUAAUCUUGUACCUUGAAGGGAGUCUAUACCCUUUCUUAGGGUUCCUAUAUCUUAUCUAUUAUUUGUUGCUUUCCUCUAUACAGGCACUGAUCUGUCCCAUUUCAUAAAUAUGUAUUUCUUCCUAGUUCUAAAGGACUUUUUUUCAUUUUUUUUUUAUGUGAUCUGCAUCCUGGAAAUAAAGGGAUUUAAGUUUAGGAGAUAGAGGAUAGAUUUGAAGAAAGUUGAAGAUAGAUUUAAUAUUAUGAUUGAUGACUUACAAUCUAAAAUUUUCAAGAUCAUUUUUACUAUCAAAAGUUAAGUUUCAUUUUAUCUACACCUAUUGUGUUCUUAAGUAGAUUUCCCCAGAGGUUGCCCCUCAAAUUUGUGGUGUUAGAGUUAUCUAGUCCUUUCAUAACUCCAAUUCACAGAUUUAAAACUAGCAACUAUAAUCUCCCCUACGCUAGACACCAAAUACCACCCACUCCAACCCGCAACACAAUGCAAAUCCCCUAUCCUCGCCCCUCACUCAACUACUCCUCUACCCUUCCUUCUAACAAUACUCAUACUUCUACUCUCAUAACCUGUAAAGACCCAUUCACCUCCACAAUGCAUAUUCUUACCACCACUACACCUUUCUAUCAGGCUUUCGGGCAAGACACAUAGAAUAUAAGGACUAAAGAUCUAAGGCCAAACUAAGAACCACCACCACAGCACGAUCGGACAUGUCCCCAGAGAGGACAAGGCAUUGACAACCAAAUCCCCCAACCCAAGAGCGACUCAACUGCGGUCUAGACUCAUGAACCAACGUGACCUUAGACGGACACUGACAACUAGGGACCACAUACUCAUGACUGAAAAAAUAAGGAACCCUCAAAGGGGGAAACCCACCCACAGAUCGCAAAACAUUCCUGCCAACUUGUCUGAGGAAAUGAGCCUACCAUAAAUACGAGCCAGACACGGGGCACACAACACACGAACCCCCUAACACUAUCUUGGUGAAGUUAUGAUCCUCUCACAGUCCUAAGCCAGUUCAUGAGCGUGCCCGCAUGCAGAGCCUGUCCAAUACUGUACUGUUACAAACCUUCUGGCUUCUCUCUCUGUUUCUUAUAAACAUAUGCACUGACCUUUAAUUCAUAACAAAAAUUAAAAAAAAGAAUUUUGAAAAACUAGCAACUAUAAUACUAUAAGGGAAGUUUAAAACUAGGCUUAAGAAAUGGCCCCAUGGGCACGAAGAAAUUUUUGCAAAUAGUGAUUUUUUUUUUCAUUAAUUGCAUCAGGAUUCAUGGAUUUUCAUUUGGUGUUUUUUAGGUUAAAGAAAAGAUAAAUAAGAAGAAACAGGUAUGAGUAUAACAGGUAUUAGUAUAUGGUCCCCACACCCUAUUAUUAGGAUCGGGGUGGCGACACUAGGGUCCACUAUUUUUAAUGGGGGGUGACUACAGGAUUGGGUACCUUGUGGGGGAGGGAUUGUGGAUAUGCCACUAAUAGGAAGAGGUAAAUAAUAAUAUGUCCAAUCCCCCAUUAUUAAAGUUCAUUACAGCCACCUCCC